RNAcentral lists this ribosomal RNA (515 nucleotides) under uncultured Paraglomeraceae. RNAcentral's name for it is "bacterial SSU rRNA". It matches the Rfam family "Eukaryotic small subunit ribosomal RNA", at positions 569 to 1080 of the family's 1831-position model. The record is from RNAcentral. Lineage: Eukaryota; Fungi; Glomeromycota; Glomeromycetes; Paraglomerales.
AGCAGCCGCGGUAAUUCCAGCUCCAAUAGCGUAUAUUAAAGUUGUUGCAGUUAAAAAGCUCGUAGUUGAACUUCAGGCCUGUCCAGAUGGUCCGCCUUAAUUGGUGUGUACUGUCCUUGGGUGGGUCCUACCUUCUGGCGAAGCGGCAUGGCCUUAAUUGGUUGUGUCGGGGAACCAGGACUUUUACUGUAGAAAAAUUAGAGUGUUCAAAGCAGGCAUAUAUGCUCGAAUACAUUAGCAUGGAAUAAUGGAAUAGGACGAUGGUUCUAUUUUGUUGGUUCUAGGACCGUUGUAAUGAUUAAUAGGGAUAGUUGGGGGCAUUAGUAUUCAAUUGUCAGAGGUGAAAUUCUUGGAUUUAUUGAAGACUAACUACUGCGAAAGCAUUUGCCAAGGAUGUUUUCAUUAAUCAAGAACGAAAGUUAGGGGAUCGAAGACGAUACAGAUACCGUCGUAGUCUUAAACCAUAAACUAUAGACCGACUAGGAACUCGGGCGUAUGUUAGACAAAAUGACUCC